CCUACGGGUGGCAGCAGUGAGGAAUAUUGGUCAAUGGACGAGAGUCUGAACCAGCCAAGUAGCGUGAAGGAUGACUGCCCUAUGGGUUGUAAACUUCUUUUAUAUGGGAAUAAAAUGUUCCACGUGUGGGAUUUUGUAUGUACCCUAUGAAUAAGGAUCGGCUAACUCCGUGCCAGCAGCCGCGGUAAUACGGAGGAUCCGAGCGUUAUCCGGAUUUAUUGGGUUUAAAGGGAGCGUAGGUGGAUUGUUAAGUCAGUUGUGAAAGUUUGCGGCUCAACCGUAAAAUUGCAGUUGAAACUGGCAGUCUGGAGUACAGUAGAGGUGGGCGGAAUUCGUGGUGUAGCGGUGAAAUGCUUAGAUAUCACGAAGAACUCCGAUUGCGAAGGCAGCUCACUGGACUGCAACUGACACUGAGGCUCGAAAGUGUGGGUAUCAAACAGGAGUAGAUACCCCAGUAGUC
Molecule: ribosomal RNA, 460 nt
Filed under: uncultured bacterium
Lineage: Bacteria
Description: partial 16S ribosomal RNA
Rfam family: Bacterial small subunit ribosomal RNA
Source: RNAcentral